UGGCGCACGGGUGCGUAACGCGUGGGAAUCUGCCCAAAGGUUCGGAAUAACAGUUAGAAAUGACUGCUAAUACCGGAUAAUGUCGCAAGACCAAAGAUUUAUUGCCUUUGGAUGAGCCCGCGUAGGAUUAGCUAGUUGGUGGGGUAAAGGCCUACCAAGGCGACGAUCCUUAGCUGGUCUGAGAGGAUGAUCAGCCACACUGGAACUGAGACACGGUCCAG
RNAcentral lists this ribosomal RNA (221 nucleotides) under uncultured bacterium. Its description in RNAcentral is "partial 16S ribosomal RNA". It matches the Rfam family "Bacterial small subunit ribosomal RNA", at positions 96 to 334 of the family's 1533-position model. The record is from RNAcentral.